RNAcentral lists this ribosomal RNA (19 nucleotides) under Hebeloma subvictoriense. RNAcentral describes it as "partial 28S ribosomal RNA". Lineage: Eukaryota; Fungi; Basidiomycota; Agaricomycetes; Agaricales; Hymenogastraceae. The record is from RNAcentral.
AUUGACCUCAAAUCAGUAG